This 1193-nucleotide long non-coding RNA is filed under the name Zea mays. RNAcentral's name for it is "long non-coding RNA (ZMAY_LNC000425)". Lineage: Eukaryota; Viridiplantae; Streptophyta; Magnoliopsida; Poales; Poaceae. The record is from RNAcentral.
GAGAAGCCCCUUUUUAGAGGCCCCAGCGUGUGGUAGCUGCGUGGAAAAUGGCAUGCCGUGCCGCCGUCGACGACGGCGAGAGAGAGGGAAAGAGCUUGAGAGUGAAAUCUCCCGUAAACGAAUGAACCGCCAGACGGCGAAAUGUGUACGUGAAAUAUAAUCUCCAAAGGGGAGACGUCCCCUUCACACAUCUCGGUGACGACCAGCGGCGGCAUAUAUAGGCCAAGCUUCAAUUCGCAGCAUCUCAUCAUGCAGAUGCAGUACGUACGACGGAUUGAUUGGGAUUUGAGCAGGGAAAGGAACAGUGGUGAGUGUGGCCUCUUCCGAUCCAAGUCGCGGCUCAGGUUGCUAGCUAGCUAGACAAAAGCAAGAUUCUCUCCGGUAACCCCAUCACUGAUGUGAUGUCACGGCGAUCUUACGAUCGGUACGUACGGCGUACGUCCGUCCAUGGGUUUUCUUUCUUUUCUGCAAUAAUUCCGCUAGAUGAUCGUCAUAUAUAUACCAGAACAUGAACCGGCCUGCAGGUGCAGUGCAGAUGCAGUAGCUAGUGUACUGUUGAGAUUUGCAGGUUGAUCGAUCACAUGACGCGUUAUACUGUGUGUAAUCCUCAUCCUGUAGCAAGUACAAAGCAUACAUCAUAAAGUAAGGGUGUUGCAUUGUACAUUCGCAUAUUGUGGUUAAUAAUACACAUACAGUACAGUAUAGUAUUAGCAGGAUUUUGUUUUCCUAAAAAAAACAAUAGCUACUAUGAUGCAUGGUUCACAGUAUAGAGGAAGGAGCGCCAAUUAAUUGGGCGCAAAUAAAGGCUAGCUUGAGGCAGAAUUUGGCGGAAACAGCUUUGUUCAAAUCAGAAAUCUAUCAGCUAGCGAGCUAACACCCAAAAAGGGGAGGAAUGAAACUGCUGCACCCAGUUCUAAGCAACUCCGUCCGAUUAAUUAAACUGUCCAUCUCUCUGUCUGACAAGAAGCUAUAGCACAAUCAAGAGGGACAUCGAUCUCUAGCUAAUAAUUUCCAUUGCUAACAAACCAAACCAUAUUUACAUGACACAUUAAGGUUUUAUUUAGGUGCAUUCAAGACAGCAGCACCUGUAAGUAACUAACCUUCCUUUCCUUGAUCAGGCCACAGAUAGUAGUUAGGAGGACUGAACGACCGAUCGAUCGAGAGGCAAUAAUUAUUCCAUACAUACACAUGCA